Molecule: long non-coding RNA, 4668 nt
Organism: Triticum urartu
Lineage: Eukaryota; Viridiplantae; Streptophyta; Magnoliopsida; Poales; Poaceae
Source: RefSeq, a predicted model, not a curated record
UCGGGCUGUAGCCCCAACGCCCGAACGCUCGAGCACUUCUCUCCCUUAUCCUUUCACUCCACCGCACUAGCCUUUCCCCAUUCUCCUAUCCACACCUGUCGUGGCUGCUCCCCGGGCCAGCAGCAGCCGUCGACGGGGAGCGCAGCUCGCCUUGUGUCGCGGCGGAGCAGGCGGCGGAACAGCCGGAGGAUGAGGAAGCUGGUGGAGGCGCGGUGUGACGGCAGUGGUGCGUGGUGGCUCGCCGAGGACGAUGAAGCGAGGGGAGGCGGCGACUCCCAGGCCAGCGCAGAUCAACGGGGCUCCGACGCCGUGGGAGUUCGUCGUGGACGCCGACGGGGCGCCUGAGGAUAUGGCUCAGAUGGAGGUGGUGCGGCGCGAGCACUCGGCGGCUGGGGCACGACGCGGAUGCAGCUGCGUGGUUGCGCCUGGAGUGCGAGGAAGCGGGCGGGGGCAGCGGCGCUGAGGCCCGCUAGACUCCGGUGGAUGUGGCCCUUGGUCGCCGCCGUCCGCUGGUCUCUUCGUCCGGCGAAUCGACGCCGGAUUUGUAGGGUCCAACGGCGCGGGGUGGCUCUGGUGACCUUGCGCAAGGAUGGCGCGCAUGGGGAAGACAACCACCAUGGCCAACCUAGUAGGUUCCAUGGGGCUCGGCAAUCACGAUGGGGUUCGAACUUCGCGGCCCGUGACGAGGCGGUCGUCGGCGCCAGAGGUCGACUCCCCUGGUCAACGUCUCCUUCCUACGAAGAAGAAGAGGUUAUUCUUCAGAGAAUUAUGGCGUUUCUUUUGGUUUGUAACCAUCAUCAAUAACACAUGGGCGACUAUUCAGUAAUCUGUGUACCUUACACUACUUCCUCCUGUUUGCACUGAUAUGUGGAUUCCUCAAAUUUUGAAGCAGCCUGAACGUUACCAUCAGAUUCUAAUUCACUUUGCAUGUCUCAAAUUCUGUUGUAUUUUUUCCUAGCUGAUUUCUGAGUCAAGUUGUGAUAAAGUAGUUAGCUUAGCUAUGUACUGAAGUUAGUUUAGUUUGGUGUGUACCCGAGGUUCUGCUUAAAAUAGUUACCAUUGUAUUAGACAUAUAUUUGACAUCUUAUUUAGCAAGAUAUUCCUCGAGAAUAGACACAGUUUUCAUCUUGUCAACUACAACUCCGACGUACAUUUUUUGCCUCCAAAAUCGCCAUGUCUCACUAUACAUUUUUUCUUAAAUUUGCCCUCUCCCUGUAAAACUUUUCUUAAAUUUUCCUGGAAGAUGGCAAAUAUACUUAUCGAAUCAUUGCAAAUUUUAGUUCUCGUAUCAUGAAAAUUCAUUAUUUUUUGCCAUGGCAACUUUUGAUUUUUGGAUCAUGGCGCAUUUUUACUGUUUUCUACCAUGGCAUUUUUUUGGUAGACCAUGGAAACAAAUCUUAUACUUUUUGCCAUGUAAGCAUCAAACAUUUAGUUAAUUGAUCAUGGCAAAUUUAGUUAACACAUCAUAACAAACUUGCUUCCUGGAAGAUGGCAAAUAUAGUUAUCGUAUCAUGGCAAAUUUAGUUCUCGGAUCAUGGCAAAUUAAUUGCUUUCUUGCCAUGGCAACUUUUGAUUUUUUUGAAAUUGUCGUUGUAAUUCUUUAAAUUGUCAAAAACAACACAAAAUAGCAAAUAUUGCCAUGACAAGUUUUGCUAAUUAUUUUACCUUUAUUAACAUGGCUAUCCUAAAUCCCCAUGGCAAUUUUUUAACUUUUAUUGCCAUGGCAAGUUACUAUUUAUUUGCCAUGGCAAAUUUACCUUUUAUUAACAUGGCAAAUUUACCUAAAUCCCCAUGGCAAUAUCUAAGUUUAUUUGCCAUGGCAAGUUUUUACUAUUUAUUUGACUUUUAUUAACAUGGCAAAUUUACCUAAAUCCCCAUGGCAAUAUCAAACUAUUAUUGCCAUGGCAAGUUUUACUAUUUAUUUGCCAUGGAUAAUAUACCUUCAUUAACAUGACAAAUUUACCUAAAUUCCCAUGGCAAUAUUUAACUUUUAUUGCCCUGGAAAAUUUUACUUUUUAUUUGCUAUGGUUAAUUUACCUUUAUUAACAUGGCAAAUUUACCUAAAUUCCCAUGGCAAAUUUUAACUUUUAUUGCCAUGGCAAGAUUUACUAUUCAUUUGAUCUUUAUUAACAUGGCAGAUUUUACUUUUAUUUUUGCGUGCCAAUUAUUAAUUUUUCUACACCAUGGCAAAAUUAACCUUUUUAUUGCCAUGGCAAAUUUACCUUUUAUUUUCCAUAAUUUUUUUAUUUAAUUUACAUGGCAAUUUUAAUUUUUGUCACUCAUGGCAAACAUACUUCUAUGCAGCAUGGCAGGUUUUACUUUUAUUUUGCCAUGGCAAAAAUACUUAGAAAACACGACAAUUAUUACUAAACAAUAGAUGGUGCAUUUUUUGUUUUGUGCUUCGGCAAAUUUAUAUAGUAAAAAUAGCACACAAAAUUUUAAUCCAUAUUUUCUUGAAAUUAUGGUACAGAUGCAAACUGCCAUGAUUUUUUUCCUUUUUGUGCCAUUGCAUAUUUUUUUCUUUCCAUCAUGGUACAGAUGCAAAAUUUGUUUAUAAAGAUGAUUGCAAUUUUUGCUUUGAAACCAUUGGGAUUCUUUUAGUAGUAUCUUGUUUUCCAUUUUUCUAUCUAUCAUGACUUCUUUUUGACUUUUUCAGUGAUGGCAAGUUCAUAUGCAUCCACACUGCACAUUUUCCAUGUUUUUGAUUGGUAAACAACAAAAAUUGCCAUGGCAAAUUCAUACAUUUUGACAUCUUUGCAAAUAAGAUCUUUUUGGUUCAUUCAUAUUAUAGCGGAAGAGUUCUCAUGGUUCAUUCAUACUUUUUUAUUUUUGCAGCAUUUUGUGACUUUUUUUCAUUGCAUGGAAAAAUCUAGCCUUUAUUUAGUCACAUCCAAUAGUGGUUUUUUUGGUCACAGUAAAAAUUGGCACAAUCUUGGCUUUUUUCACAACAAAAAGGCCUCUAGGCCCCUGAGGUAGGGUGUUCGGGCUGGGUGAUUCUCGUCCCGAACACAUGCGUUCGGUCGAUGCCUUCCACGGGACCGAACGAAUCGUUCGAUCUGGGGCUCUUCCAGACCGAACGUUCGGCAGUUAUCGAGGUCCAACAUAAAUUACAUUAUACAAAAAACAUACUUUUGAAUUUGUAUUUGAAAUAGAUUUUUAAUGGUAUAAUUUUUGUGACAUGUAGUUCAAAUUUUAUUAGUUAAAUUCAUGGUCAAAAAUUAGUCCAAGAUAAGAGGAGACCUAAUAAACCUGGACUGAGGGAUAUUUCUGAAGCAUUUUGGAGUAAUGGUUUUAUUUUCUGCCAUGACUUCCACGAAUGUCAUUGCACAAAAAAAAAAUUUCAAGCAGUUAAAAUAUUUGUCGGAAAAAACUUCAUUUUUAAUAAGUUUUUUCAUCAUUUUUUUCCUUCGGGUUUUACCCUUCAUCCCGAGCUCGUUUGAGAUCGGGAGCACGAGAGGAGUUUUGAAAGGUUUUACACUGUGUUAUACAAGUACUACAUUACUAAGUACCACAAUAUUCUUUCGAGCAUCCUUUUUUUUUUAUGUUUUCCCAUGGCAAAGCAAUCCACAUUCCAAGCAAUAAACUUCUUUAGGAGCCUGUUUUCUGUGAUCUUCGACAAACCAAAUUUGAUAGUCAUUUUAUGAUUAUCUUUUUGUUUUUCUGCAAAUGCCAUGCCUUGUCUGCAAGUGUUGUGACGGAUGUCCUUUAGGUUUAUCUACAUUUGUCGUGGGAGGGGUAACGCGACCUUGUUUGUCCAUUUCUUUUCGCUGAUUGCUUCAGGAGUUCUUCCAAUGUUUCGACACAUGAAACUCCACUAGCUUUGUGUUAUUUUUGUUUUUUGUUUAUCAUGGUUUUUUGGGUACAAACAAAUCUCAAUCCUCGCACCCUCACAAAAAAUGGCGUGCCAAGUUUGCUUCUAGGGUACACCAACAAUGAUGCAACGAGCACAUCAUUUUAGUUGGUGACUUUGAAAGAUCAAUGGUAACAAAUAUCAUAUGAAUAGCAGUGGCAAACAUGAAGCGAACGAAAGAGUAAUAGACAUAGGGAUCCACGGAGGGGUCGAUAUUACAAUGAGAUGGAGAUGAGUGAUGUUGAAGGUGGUCGAUGAAGAUGGUUGAUUCCGAUGUCCCCUUGCACGUGGUGAUGAAACUGACGAUCUCCUUCUUGUCGAUUCACCCUCUGGAUGCCUUUCAGAGGCUAAGGUUCUAUGUCCGGGAUCAGUUUCUGGUAUCUGUAUGUGUCCGAUCUCCGAUCCGCUUCCAUGAGGGGAAGUGGUUGACCAAGAGGAGGGGCGGUGGCUGGUACGACCACACGCGCUCGUACCAGACGAUGUCGAGUGCUCUAGAUACCAUGUGCAGAUCUAUGCAAGGAUUCAAUAGCGGGACGACUGCAGCUCGCGCUGGUCCGUAGUGACACGUGCACGAAGACUUCCUGAUUGUCAUCGAUAAGGUCAAGCUAGCUCUGGUAGACGAGCGGCGAUAGGGGCACGUCGGUGGCUCGUUCUAAUGGGAGUAGUGGUCAUUUGGUGGUCUCGAAACUCUAUGUAACUUUUAUUAUGUUUGAGAUGUUUUGUACUUUCAGUAACUUCUGUAAUAAAUUUGAUCUUUUUUGUAAAAAAUAAUAAGAGCAAAAGGUAGUACAAUGGCGUUCCUUUUUUUUGAGGGUAAU